Molecule: long non-coding RNA, 3473 nt
Filed under: Nicotiana tabacum (common tobacco)
Lineage: Eukaryota; Viridiplantae; Streptophyta; Magnoliopsida; Solanales; Solanaceae
Description: long non-coding RNA (NTAB_LNC017588)
Source: RNAcentral
ACGGCACGUGGGACUCGUACACUCUUGGUCUAAUGGGAGGAGGAGGAGCAUGCUCCCUCGUCAGCUCAGGUUCGACAUCCACUUCCUCCUCCUCAUCACCCUCAUCAGGGAAGGGUGUGUCAUCUCCAGACUCAUCGGCAUUGUUGUCAUAAUCACUAUCAUCUUCCUGACUUUGCGCAUCUGCCAAAUCACGAGUUAGUACGUCAUCUAUGGGCAGCUGUUUGAGGUCAGGAACAUUAAGUUGCUCGUUUUCAUUGCACAAAAAGAAUAAAAUAAUAAGCUACUCAACUAGAUAAAUAAUUUACAUAUAGCUAUAUCACUUUAUUUACAAGUCGUAUUGUGUUGACGUUCCAUGAUAGACAGUUUCUUGUUGGUGAUGACUCCCCGAUGGACCACCAUGGUCCAACAUGCCAGAACUACGCAUAUUCCAACUAGGAGCAGGGUCAUAACUUGUAAAAUUCAUAUUCGGACGAUACCCCCUAUUGUUACACCUCCUUUUUACCUACACCCCCGGAAGGGAUGUAUAAGGGAGUUUUUUCCAAUUUAAGUCACAAUCGAAAUGAGAUUAUUUAUUUAUUAAAUAUAGAGUCGUCACUUGGGAUAAUUUUAUGGUGUCCCAAGUCACCGGUUUAAAAUUCCGAAUCGAGGAAAUUGACUCUUAUUUAUGGUCUGCGAACACAGAAAUCCGGGUAAGGAAUUCUGUUAACCCGGGAAAAGGUGUUAGGCAUUCCCGAGUUCCGUGGUUCUAGCACGGUCGCUUUGAUCAUACUUGGCUUAUUAAAUUGUCUAAUUACUCAUUUUAAAACCUAUGUGCAUUUACCGUUUACCGUUUUUUAAUUAAAAAAAUUAUUUUGAAACAAGUCACGCGUGAACGUGUCCACAAUUAAUAAUGCUCUAUUAUUAUUAAGAAAGUUUGGCCGAAGUUGCGCGAACGCAUACUUCGGUUUUGUUUUUAGAAAUCGCAAUCAUGUCACGUGGACGUGUCCACAAUCGCAAUGAUAUAUUAAACGUGCCUAAAGCAAACUACGAACAUUUGGUCAUUUUUAUAUCUAAGUUAUGAAAUUAAUACGAGGGCCAUGUAGGAUUAAACUUGUGAAUGGCGCACCUCGACCUAUAAUCCUAAAUUAAUUAUCGACCUAUUAAAUCAAAUAUUAUUAAGAAAAAAUUGAUCGAAGUUGCACAAACGCAUACUCCGAAUUGGUUUUAGAAUUGUAAUUAUGUCACGAACGUGUACAUAAUCACAAUCGUAUUUUAAACAGGGCCAAACAAACUACGAUGUAAAAGGAAUUGUUGUAAUCCUAGAUUCGACAAUUGUAUGAAAAAACCUGUAGGUACAUAUUAGCCUCAAUCUUUUACUACUGCUAGUUCUGUUUUUAAGCCCAUAAGCAAAAAUAAUUCUGGUGCUUAUUAACCAACGAGACAAUGCACCACUCUAACCAACACGCCAAGCAAAUACCAAUUUGAUCUUACCAGUACACUCCAUUGUGACUAAAGCAGAAAUAUUGAGCAUGCCAGAUGAUUAAAUACAGAACAAGGUUGCUUUCUUUAUAUCAUGUCAACAGAUAAGAUGAAACACACAUACAGAUCCAUUUCCCAUGUAGAUUUGUCAUAUUUAAUCUCAAUGUCCAACUAACUCGCAACCUUUAAUCUCCUAAGAUCUUUAUAUUCACAUCAAUGCAACCAUUGUUUUAGCAAUAAGAAAAAAAAAAGUCCAAUUCCAAUAAGAAUGCUGCUUCUCAAAGUAUCAAAAAGAGAAGUGAGAAAAAUCAAAAGGAGAAGAAGAGACGAUAGCUUAUUCAGUUCCUGCUACGCAAUGGAGAAUUACAUGUAUUUAUGCAAAAACAAAUGCAUAGUCUUUGAAUUGGUGUAAAGGGAUAGAAAGUGAAGAUCCUUUAAUUCCAGAACUCACACCCUAUGAUAAUUAAUCAGAAUAGAGACGAUUAAGACAUAACUCAUCCUAUAAUGAACACAUCAAAACAAAUGCAUAGUCUCUGAAAAUGCAAAUAGGUCCUGGGCAAAUUCAUCUCAGUAACCAGACCUAUAUCAUGAGGAGAAUGGACUGAACCAAACUUUCACAUCUUUGAAAGGUUAAACGAGCGCAAGAAAUCAGAUCCAAUGAGACUAACCAACAAAUCAAACCAACGAGAGCCAACAAUCAGAAUUUGCACUCAGAAAACUAUGUAGAUACGCUGCUCGCACAGUGCGAAACAGGGCAGAUUUUCAGCAGGGCCAACAACCAGACAAAUGCCCAAAAUACUGCAUGUAUCAGUUCGAUUUACUGCUCAAAUGGGGCUAAUUGAAACUAAACAAACUGGUAGGCUUGAAACGAGAAGAAAUGCAUUUGGUACAGACAUACAUGAAGAAUAGCUUGGCAUUCUAGUGAAAUCGAACACGAAACAAUAUGAUUGAUUAGCUAUCCAUGCUGCCAAAAGAAGAAUUCAAACAAAUGAAUGCAGCGAACCUCAUCUCAGACAUUACUAUAUGCCAUUUGACUCAAAUUUACUAGUCAAUAAGAUGGAACAUAGAUCCACCCUAUGGUGUUAUAGCAGUCAUGAGUCUAAACAGAUUUAAAGUUUACUUUAAUACUCGCAGAAAUUAACAGAAGAAAACAAGGCAGAAACCAACAGCCAAAUUUGGAUAACUAAUUAAGAGGAAAUCAGCAAACCCAAUAGCACAUAUUAAUUUAGCCCAUAACUAAUCAGAUUAAGCGAAGGGAGGAGAAAUGAACCUGAAAUCAGAAAUUCUUUCACUAAUAACAGAAGAAUACAAAGUUUUGCUCCAAAAUUCUAACGAGAGAAACAACAACAAAGGCCGAACUGAAAACGCGAACAAUGAAACGGAACCACGAACAGAGCAACCUCAACUCCGGCGAGUUUGCAACAAUAAUUCAGAUCACUUCCAUUUUUGAACCCAGAUUCAGAGUUGAAAGAAACAAGUAACAAGAACACUUUUUUGUUUUUUGAUUUUUUUUUAAAAAAGAAAGAAAGAAAGAAGGAAGCCCAAAACAAAACUCCAGAAAAAAAUUCUUCUGUUUCUCUGUUUUCAGAACCCCCCUCUACAAGAAAAGAGUCUCACCUUAUAUAUACUUCUCGAACCUUCUCCCUUUCUCCCGAAGAAACCUCUAAAACAAAAAAUCCCCAUCCCAAUCUGAUUUUUACCCAUUUCUGAUGGAAAAAGGGACAAAUAGAGGGAGUAGAUUGACUUGAAUCCAAUCUAACGCUCCCCAUUUUUCCUCAUUUCCAUCUGGAGGACAAAAAUCCGAAGAUAAUCCAAGAGGGCAUGUGAGGAAGAGGGAACCUGUCAGAAACGGUUAGAAAUGGCGAGAGGAGAGAAGGAGGGAACGCUUAGUUGUGAGAUUGGGGCUCACUGGCCUGAAUUUUGGCAAUUUUUGGGAGUGGAUUCGGUUGUUUGGAGAAGAAGUACAGUGUACGCAUCGUUUGAGCUCGAGAGAUUAGGGCUCUGGGUAUUUUUGU